UGCAGUCGAGCGGUAACAGANUAGAAAGCUUGCUUUUUUGCUGACGAGCGGCGGACGGGUGAGUAAUGCCUGGGAAUAUACCCUGAUGUGGGGGAUAACUAUUGGAAACGAUAGCUAAUACCGCAUAAUCUCUUCGGAGCAAAGAGGGGGACCUUCGGGCCUCUCGCGUCAGGAUUAGCCCAGGUGGGAUUAGCUAGUUGGUGGGGUAAUGGCUCACCAAGGCGACGAUCCCUAGCUGGUCUGAGAGGAUGAUCAGCCACACUGGAACUGAGACACGGUCCAGACUCCUACGGGAGGCAGCAGUGGGGAAUAUUGCACAAUGGGGGAAACCCUGAUGCAGCCAUGCCGCGUGUAUGAAGAAGGCCUUCGGGUUGUAAAGUACUUUCAGUUGUGAGGAAGGCGUUAAAGUUAAUAGCUUNACNGUUUGACGUUAGCAACAGAAGAAGCACCGGCUAACUCCGUGCCAGCAGCCGCGGUAAUACGGAGGGUGCGAGCGUUAAUCGGAAUUACUGGGCGUAAAGCGCAUGCAGGCGGUCUUGUUAAGCACAG
This 549-nucleotide ribosomal RNA is filed under the name Photobacterium sp. UST050418-026. Its description in RNAcentral is "bacterial SSU rRNA". It matches the Rfam family "Bacterial small subunit ribosomal RNA", at positions 56 to 593 of the family's 1533-position model. Lineage: Bacteria; Pseudomonadati; Pseudomonadota; Gammaproteobacteria; Vibrionales; Vibrionaceae. The record is from RNAcentral.